GAUGAACGCUGGCGGCGUGCCUAAUACAUGCAAGUCGAGCGAACAGACGAGGAGCUUACUCCUCUGACGUUAGCGGCGGACGGGUGAGUAACACGUGGAUAACCUACCUAUAAGACUGGGAUAACUUCGGGAAACCGGAGCUAAUACUGGAUAACAUGUUGAACCGCAUGGUUCAACAGUGAAAGACGGUCUUGCUGUCACUUAUAGAUGGAUCCGCGUCGCAUUAGCUAGUUGGUAAGGUAACGGCUUACCAAGGCAACGAUGCGUAGCCGACCUGAGAGGGUGAUCGGCCACACUGGAACUGAGACACGGUCCAGACUCCUACGGGAGGCAGCAGUAGGGAAUCUUGCACAAUGGGCGAAAGCCUGACGGAGCAACGCCGCGUGAGUGAAGAAGGUCUUCGGAUCGUAAAACUCUGUUAUUAGGGAAGAACAGAUGUGUAAGUAACUAUGCCCGUCUUGACGGUACCUAAUCAGAAAGCCACGGCUAACUACGUG
This 497-nucleotide ribosomal RNA is filed under the name uncultured bacterium. RNAcentral's name for it is "partial 16S ribosomal RNA". It matches the Rfam family "Bacterial small subunit ribosomal RNA", at positions 28 to 507 of the family's 1533-position model. The record is from RNAcentral.